GUCGGCCUACGGGACGCAGCAGUGAGGAAUAUUGGUCAAUGGGCUUACGCCUGAACCAGCCAAGUCGCGUGAGGGAAGACUGCCCUAUGGGUUGUAAACCUCUUUUGUCAGGGAGCAACGCCGGCUACGUGUAGCCGGACUGAGAGUACCUGAAGAAAAAGCAUCGGCCAACUCCGUGCCAGCAGCCGCGGUAAUACGGAGGAUGCGAGCGUUAUCCGGAUUUAUUGGGUUUAAAGGGUGCGUAGGCGGCAUGCCAAGUCAGCGGUAAAAUCGCGGGUC
Molecule: ribosomal RNA, 279 nt
Filed under: uncultured bacterium
Lineage: Bacteria
Description: partial 16S ribosomal RNA
Rfam family: Bacterial small subunit ribosomal RNA
Source: RNAcentral